Long non-coding RNA from Cucurbita maxima (winter squash), 435 nucleotides. RefSeq lists it as uncharacterized. NCBI's taxonomy places the organism in Eukaryota, Viridiplantae, Streptophyta, Magnoliopsida, Cucurbitales, Cucurbitaceae. The transcript is spliced from 2 exons. The record is from RefSeq and is a predicted model, not a curated record.
AUGAUCUAUUGAUUCUUGCCUCAUGAGCCUGAAGCGAGCCCAUCAGUUCAUCAACGGAGAAUAUGGAUAGAUCCUCAGCUUCUUCUAAGGCAACCACCACAUGGUCAAACUUUGGAGUCAAGCUUCUCAACACCUUUGCAACAAUUGUUUCAAACUUCUUCUGUAGAAUUGACCAUGCCUACUUUGAUGUGGUUGCUGCUGCAAUUCGUGAAAAGAGUCUCAUGAACUGCUUGCUGAAUAAUGAAUAGAGCCUUGGCAUCGUUUUUCUUGGUUUCUCUUAGUCUCUCCUUUUCUUCUAUUGAGGGUUCUAAUACAUCAACAAACCCGUGCUCCACCAAGUCCCAUAGCUCCUGCGAUCUGAGCAAGGUCUUCAUCUUGAUGCUCCACCACUCAUAUUUCUCACCAUUAAAGAUUGGUAACAACUGUGCAGAAGAA